Long non-coding RNA from Ciona intestinalis (vase tunicate), 373 nucleotides. RefSeq lists it as uncharacterized. NCBI's taxonomy places the organism in Eukaryota, Metazoa, Chordata, Ascidiacea, Phlebobranchia, Cionidae. The record is from RefSeq and is a predicted model, not a curated record.
AUGCGUACACCCUUUUUUCUAAGUUUAACUGAGUUCAUAAGAAGCUUGAGAUACCCUAUAUAAGGCAAUAAUUUAAGCACGAUAUUAUUCUGACUCUUCCACAAGCCACUAUGAAUAAAGCACUACUUCUCUUGCUCGUCAUCGGACUGUUUGUUCUUACCACCGAUGCAUUUUUAGUUAAUUCUCCUUCUAAACUCACUGCACGCCGUCGAAGCCGCUGGCAAUGGAACCAAGAACAAGUUAAACUCAGCAAUGACCUAGACGAACUCACAGCACGUUUGUUCGAAUAGACAUUUUGCAUCUUAUAAAUUUGUAUAUGCUGUUUUAAAUAACAACGCGAUACAUUUUUACUUGAAUAAAUGCAAGAAUAUUA